RNAcentral lists this ribosomal RNA (278 nucleotides) under uncultured archaeon. RNAcentral describes it as "partial 16S rRNA". It matches the Rfam family "Archaeal small subunit ribosomal RNA", at positions 1047 to 1325 of the family's 1478-position model. The record is from RNAcentral.
GAGACCCAUUUCCACUGUUGCUAACACGCCCUAACGGGUGGUGAGUACACUGUGGAGACCGCUGGCGCUAAGUCAGAGGAAGGAUUGGUCGACGGUAGGUCAGUAUGCCCCGAAUCCCCCGGGCCACACGCGGGCUGCAAUGGUAUGGACAGUGGGAUGCAACUCCGAAGGGAGAAGCUAAUCUCUAAACCAUAUCUCAGUUGGAAUUGUCGGCUGAAACUCGCCGACAUGAACGUGGAAUCCCUAGUAAUCGCGUGUCAUCAUCGCGCGGUGAAUAC